RNAcentral lists this ribosomal RNA (309 nucleotides) under uncultured bacterium. RNAcentral's name for it is "bacterial SSU rRNA". It matches the Rfam family "Bacterial small subunit ribosomal RNA", at positions 28 to 334 of the family's 1533-position model. The record is from RNAcentral.
GACGAACGCUGGCGGCGCGCCUAACACAUGCAAGUCGAACGAGCGAGAGAGAGCUUGCUUUCUCAAGCGAGUGGCGAACGGGUGAGUAACGCGUGAGGAACCUGCCUCAAAGAGGGGGACAACAGUUGGAAACGACUGCUAAUACCGCAUAAUGUGUUUUGGGGGCAUCCCCGAAAUACCAAAGAUUUAUCGCUGAAAGAUGGGCUCGCGUCUGAUUAGCUAGUUGGUGGGGUAACGGCCUACCAAGGCGACGAUCAGUAGCCGGACUGAGAGGUUGAACGGCCACAUUGGGACUGAGAUACGGCCCAG